UAAGGCUCCUAUCGAAGCCGUUGUUGCUUUGUUCAGUAGCAUCAAAUGGUCAAAAGGAAGCCAAUAGGAAACCUUUCACUGACGGUCGCUGCACAGUUCACAAAAUAACUGAUGUAGCAACAAUUUUGGGGAAGGACAUUU
Non-coding RNA from Nerophis lumbriciformis (worm pipefish), 141 nucleotides. NCBI's taxonomy places the organism in Eukaryota, Metazoa, Chordata, Actinopteri, Syngnathiformes, Syngnathidae. The record is from RefSeq and is a predicted model, not a curated record.